AUUGAACGCUGGCGGCAGGCCUAACACAUGCAAGUCGAACGCGUGGCGGACGGGUGUGUAAUGUCUGGGAAACUGCCCGAGGGAGGGGGAUAACUACUGGAAACGGUGGCUAAUACCGCGUACGCUCUGGUAUGCCCAGAUGGGGUUAGCUAGUAGGUGGGGUAACGGCUCACCUAGGCGACGAUCCCUAGCUGGUCUGAGAGGAUGACCAGCCACACUGGAACUGAGACACGGUCCAGACUCCUACGGGAGGCAGCAGUGGGGAAUAUUGCACAAUGGGCGCAAGCCUGAUGCAGCCAUGCCGCGUGUAUGAAGAAGGCCUUCGGGUUGUAAAGUACUUUCAGCGAGGAGGCGUUACUCGCAGAAGAAGCACCGGCUAACUCCGUGCCAGCAGCCGCGGUAAUAC
This 406-nucleotide ribosomal RNA is filed under the name uncultured bacterium. RNAcentral describes it as "partial 16S ribosomal RNA". It matches the Rfam family "Bacterial small subunit ribosomal RNA", at positions 30 to 526 of the family's 1533-position model. The record is from RNAcentral.